GGGCUUUCUUACCAUUCCCAGAUCUCCGCGAGCGCAGAGGCAAUUACAGGAGAUCCUAACUUUUUAAACUGAAGACAAAAGACGAGGGAACUCGGAUAAAACACGCUCCCAGGUCCAUCGCAGAACGUACAUGCCAAGGAAACUUCAUGCAGAUGGGGUCUGAUCUGGGGGCUCUGCAGGAGCCAACCCUUCCUGCACCCUCACUGGUGGUGCCAACCCCUGCGGCCAUGGGGCUGGCUGAGGCUGGAAGUAGGAGGGUGUUCGUUUGUGGCAGGCAGCUGAUUUAUAAUUCGAGAACGUCUCAGUGGGUCGAGGUGUGCGGCCCGCAGUGCUGCCAGGAAGCACCAUCCCCUGACCAAGCAGCAGUCGAGCGAUCUCCGCGCCGUGCCACCUGGCCAGGGCAGACCUCACCCAGACGCAUCCCUCAUUCCGGGAUCCGCACGUGGAAACGUGCUUCUUCAAGGCAUUUCGCAGCACGUUACCACCUCACACACACCGCUGGAGCCAGCCCCAAGCGUUUGGGUCUCCCGAGAUGGAUUAUUCACGUGUGGCUUCAUGAUCACAGCAGUAUUUUAAGAAGCGAUCCAAGCCCGUGCCUUUUGCUUCGCUUGCUGGCUCCAGAACCUGUAAGAUUUGCUUGGCUCUCGUUUAGAGCCUUGUUCUGCAGCCACGAGUGCCAGACGCUUCCCGCUGGCUUCCAGCACAAGCCAGAGCCGCGCCGCAGCCAGCCGGGAGCCUGCUGCCCUUCGGCUGCGAACACAACCGGGGGCACCAGCUCUGUACCCAGCCCCUGCAAAAUGCAUCUGCAAAGCACGGCAGAGACAAGGCUCGGGUUCCAAGCUAAACCAGGACUAAAUAAGCCUGCCACCGCUGCAAGCCUCAUCCAGGACUGCGUGGCCACAAGCAGCGCCUCCAUCGCAUGCAGCUGGAAGUCCUGCCCCGGUGGCACCUGGAGCUGUGCAGAGCAGGGAGGCUCUGCAGAUUUCACUGACAUGAGGCAAGGAAUAGGGAAAAAAAGCAUGCAGGGGAAGGAAACCCCGCUUAAAGGUGAACUGAAAGUUAAUAUAGCUGCAUAAAUUGGCUCAGACACUCAGCAACAGGGAAGAGGCAGCAAAGCAAAAUGCUGAAAAGCAAUUU
RNAcentral lists this long non-coding RNA (1137 nucleotides) under Anser brachyrhynchus (Pink-footed goose). RNAcentral's name for it is "lncRNA (ENSABRG00000022950.1)". Lineage: Eukaryota; Metazoa; Chordata; Aves; Anseriformes; Anatidae. The record is from RNAcentral.